ACUUGCUGUUCCUUCUUCCCCAAGCGCUCCUAAGAGCUCCUCGGUCUUUCCUCUGCGCUCCUCUUUCCUCCGCCGAGACUGAGAUCGACUCCGCGCUGACAUCCGAUUCGGAAAACUGCACCCUCGUGCGGGCGAAGAGCGCUUAGCUCGUCCACCGUGCGCACAUACCAUGGCUCCCCUCGAGGAAGCGAACAACUUCGAAGCAGAUCCAGAUGGGGCGGCUGAAGACGUCGAGCUGGCGCCGAGGAGGAAGGGUAGCGGCCCUCACAAACCAACCGGGUUGGAAGGAUCCGAUCCCAACGACAUUCCGUCGGUACGAUGCGGCUUCACUGCUUCUUACCUGAGCUCCCUGUCGCCGAUGCUUUACCCUCAGGUGACAAAAACCGGGUUGGGAUCCCUGUUGACAGUCCGCAGUGCCUGUGGUGAGGAUAAUAAAAUGUACUGGACUCUCCUCAUGUGCGUCGACACGGAAAAAAGAGCCCUCAAGUUUCCAGAUGGGGAGUUUAGGGUCCUAGAUGACCCAACAAUAGAGUAUAUUACGGGGAUUAAGUCAGGGUCUACAACCAUCCUCGUAGGUGUAGAGAACCUGGAUUUUAGAUCAGAACGACAGGCCGUGCGGAAGCUGCUGGGUUUAGAUAGUUCACUUAGGGGGGAAAUCAAGGUUUCCGAGGUUUUUUCGGUGGUUAGAGGCAUAGAUCCGCGUUCCGAAGAUAAAAAAAGACUUGGAUCCAGCCAACGUGGGCUACACACGGCUGGUAUGUGCCACGAUGGUUGCACCUCAGGCCAACUCUACGUAUGUCCCAGAUGAAAUACUACAUUGCGUCACAAAUCCAGAUAUUAUCGGAUCAUUCAACUGGGGGAAGUACAUAGUUGACAACAUCAUGCUAAACGCAAAACGUGUGCAGCAUCACCACAAGGACAAAAUAGGUGUCUGCCUCAUGGGAGGAUUCCAACUCGUGCUUCAGGCGUUCUUCGCUGAGUGGAUGGAUUUUCAAACUAGCAUGACGCCAAAUGUUUGGCCGCGUAUAUCUGCAUACUCAACGGAAAUCCUAAGAGAAAUAUUUAUUCUCGCAAGGGAUCCAAAACACAGAUUCAAGGUGACACUUUUUGCUCUCUUUUUUCACGAGUUUGUUUCAUUGCCAUGCAAAUUAUACAUGACUACAAUUAUAAUUGUUAACAAAAUAUGCAGACAAAAGCUGAAGGGGCACUGUCAGAGACUAGAUGGUAUAUACAUCCGAUCCUACUACAGGCGAGCAUGAUUUCAAUGCACACUGUCCAGGCUACUGCUAAUCAGUUCAUCAGCUCUGUGGUCUGCAAUCAGAUCAGAAAAACCGCAAUUCAUUUCGCUAGAAAUCACACACCUCCAGGGCAAAUCCUGUCAGCACAACACCAAGAACGUUGCAGCAGCAUUGUUAACCAUAUUUCCAGCGACCUAUCUUCAGUCGCCUCUGCCAUGUACAAAGAGUUCAUGAACCGACUUGCUGCUGCAGAAAAAGCUCGCCUUAACACACAUGCUAUGCAUCUAAACCCCAGCCCUCUGGAUUGCACAGCUACAGCACUAGUAGUUACCCAGGGUACGUAUGUUCUCAUACCAAACUAAUCUGCACUUUAUCAUGUACGCCUCUUCUUCUGACGCCAAACCUUGAAUUUUCGUAGGUGUACCAGGACGACAAGAUGUGCCAUCACCGAGUCUUCCUCAAGAACAAGCCUUAGCAGAAGCACGCAGAGGGGAGCGAUCCUUCACUGGGAAUGUUGCCCAUCUUUCUAGUCCAACAUUCAUAACCCCCUUGCAGACACAGCACCCUAUGGAGUCUCCACAUGCAAAUGCAUGCGCUGAAACACUUCUUCAGCUGGCCGGU
Molecule: RNA transcript, 1859 nt
Organism: Triticum aestivum (bread wheat)
Lineage: Eukaryota; Viridiplantae; Streptophyta; Magnoliopsida; Poales; Poaceae
Exons: 4
Source: RefSeq, a predicted model, not a curated record